RNAcentral lists this long non-coding RNA (434 nucleotides) under Musa acuminata (dwarf banana). RNAcentral's name for it is "long non-coding RNA (MACU_LNC003614)". The record is from RNAcentral. Lineage: Eukaryota; Viridiplantae; Streptophyta; Magnoliopsida; Zingiberales; Musaceae.
AUCGAUCGAGAAGUCAGCUGAUGCUGACAGGUUUGAUUCAAAUGCAAAUAAAUUGUCUACAGAAAACAAAGGUUAUGUAAGCAAAGAUACCUCUCUUAACUCAGAAGACUUCCAUUCGGUCCAGAACUGGUUGGAACCAGAAAAUGAUGGGCAUUUGAGAUCGCUUCCAAUGGAUGCAGAGUUGCUGAAGGGUUCAGCCAAAGAAAAUGAUGGGCAUUUGAGAUCGCUCCCAACGGAUGCAGAGUUGCUGAAGGGUUCAGCCAAAGAAAAUGAUGGGCAUUUGAGAUCGCUCCCAAUGGAUGAUGCAGAGUUGCCGAAGGGUUCAGCCAACGAUCGAAAUGGCAGCCCACCGGCUGAGCUCAAUUCGCUUGAACACAUUCAAAUGGAGAUUCUGAAGAAGGUCGACGAAUUGAGAGAGGAAAUCAACGGAAUAU